This 587-nucleotide long non-coding RNA is filed under the name Solanum tuberosum (potato). Its description in RNAcentral is "long non-coding RNA (STUB_LNC002248)". The record is from RNAcentral. Lineage: Eukaryota; Viridiplantae; Streptophyta; Magnoliopsida; Solanales; Solanaceae.
GGGAUUCCCAGAGAAUAGUAUACUACUAAACACAAAACAUGUUCAUGUUUGUGAAAAUGAAUACUUUUGAUCCAGGUUAAACUAAACCUACAAAACUAGCAUAUCUAGAGUAAAAAAUAAGGGAACUAUUUAACUGAAGUUGAAAAAGCUUAAACCUUCCAUUGAUGUGUUAGUAAAGAACACACAAAAAAGGAAAAAAAAGCUAAAGCAUCUUUGAUCAACUCUUGUAAUAGUUAGAGCAGAUCAGACAUCCUUCUUCUGUGGUGAGCUAGUGGUUUUCUAGGCUUUGGAUCCGAGGGCGCGAUAGACUUGCUUUGUGGUAAGAUAGAUGGCUUAAUACCUAAUAUCCCCUGCCAUGAACGUGAUCUUUUAUUUGAAGUCCGGAGGUGAGCUUUGAAACGACGAUCAAAGCUGUUUGAUUGUGAACCAGAAAUUAAUAUAGAGCUCCUAGACCAUGAUCUCACACUUUUUGGUCUGCUAUGGAUUUCCUUUUCUGCUGUAGUCUCCCUUAUUCGACUGGCAACUGUGGAACUCAUGAAUCGAGGCACCGAGCUAGUGACAUUUGUUUUUAGUCCCUUCUCAGAGUU